GGUCGUUGUGCUGGCCACAUGACACUCUCGUUAGCCGUAGGCAACAGAAACAGAUAACCUUUACUUCAUCUGCUCUACAAAUCACAAUGUCUGAAAGGGGAGGCUACUUAUCGAUAUCUACCUGUGGGAAAGAGAAUAUCUUGAUAUUUAUACAGAGAGAUAAUGUGAAAUUUGAGACGUUUAAUAAUUCCGUGCCUUUUUUUUUUAAUCAUGUGGAAAAAAAAUCACAAAUCCAUAUCUUUUUACGAUUAAUAAACCACAUUAGGGGCGACGACUCUAACGGACGCAAGGAAAUGCAAAUUAAGAACGACUGUUCACAAGUGUGCGUAAAAAAAUGAUCAUCGACUAGAGUUUUUGCAGGGGGACAUUUGCUUUUAAUAAUUGCGUCAUUGUUGUUGACAGGCAGAUGAGAUUUUUGGCUCUGAAUCUGAAUAGCCAACGAGCAUGGACAUAUAGCAAAUGGGAUUACUGUAGAGCAGGGGUUCUCAACCUGUGGGUCGCGAUCCCUUUGGGGGUCGAUUGACGAUUUGCGAGGGGUCGCCUAAGACCAUCGAAAAUAUGGAUUGUUAUUGUCUAUUCUUCUAUUGCUGUAUGUGUGUUGGGUGGGG
This is a non-coding RNA of Biomphalaria pfeifferi, 608 nucleotides long. The record is from the annotation of a GenBank genome assembly. Lineage: Eukaryota; Metazoa; Mollusca; Gastropoda; Planorbidae.